AGUGGCGGACGGGUGAGUAACGCGUGAGAAUCUGCCUUGGGGUCGGGGACAACCACUGGAAACGGUGGCUAAUACCGGAUAAGCCGAUUGGUGAAAGAUUUAUUGCCCGAAGAGGAGCUCGCGUCUGAUUAGCUAGUUGGUGAGGUAAAAGCUCACCAAGGCAGCGAUCAGUAGCUGGUCUGAGAGGACGAUCAGCCACACUGGGACUGAGACACGGCCCAGACUCCUACGGGAGGCAGCAGUGGGGAAUUUUCCGCAAUGGGCGAAAGCCUGACGGAGCAAGACCGCGUGAGGGAGGAAGGCUCUUGGGUUGUAAACCUCUUUUCUCAGGGAAGAAGCUCUGACGGUACCUGAGGAAUCAGCCUCGGCUAACUCCGUGCCAGCAGCCGCGGUAAUACGGAGGAGGCAAGCGUUAUCCGGAAUUAUUGGGCGUAAAGCGUCCGCAGGUGGCGAUUCAAGUCUGCUGUCAAAGCACGGGGCUUAACUCCGUAAAGGCAGUGGAAACUGAAUAGCUAGAGUGCCGUAGGGGUAGAGGGAAUUCCCGGUGUAGCGGUGAAAUGCGUAGAGAUCGGGAAGAACAUCGGUGGCGAAAGCGCUCUACUGGACGGCAACUGACACUCAGGGACGAAAGCUAGGGGAGCGAAUGGGAUUAGAUACCCC
RNAcentral lists this ribosomal RNA (660 nucleotides) under uncultured bacterium. RNAcentral describes it as "bacterial SSU rRNA". It matches the Rfam family "Bacterial small subunit ribosomal RNA", at positions 94 to 788 of the family's 1533-position model. The record is from RNAcentral.